UGGGGGUGGAGCCAGAUGUCCUGUACUGUCAGAGGUUCCUGCAGGAGGAGGGCGUGUUGGUCGGAGCAGGUCUUCAUCAUGGAGGAGACACUCAUCAUCUGAGGUUGUGUGUCCUCGUCCCCCCCGACUCUCUGGAGGAGGCCCUGACUCGCCUCAGCUCCUUCCACCUCCGCCUCGUGGACAGAUUCUCUCAGUGUAACGGUGUGAAAGACAAAGACGAGCACGGAAGAUCUGUCCGUCUCGUAGAAACCACGUUUGAAGGCUCCACCGUCUCUGCACAGGGACACAACAGAAAUGAAUAAUGUUCCAGUGAUUCGUCAAUAAAGUUUGUCCUAGA
This is a long non-coding RNA of Hippoglossus stenolepis (Pacific halibut), 337 nucleotides long. RefSeq lists it as uncharacterized. Lineage: Eukaryota; Metazoa; Chordata; Actinopteri; Pleuronectiformes; Pleuronectidae. The record is from RefSeq and is a predicted model, not a curated record. The transcript is spliced from 2 exons.